This 107-nucleotide small nuclear RNA is filed under the name Saimiri boliviensis boliviensis (Bolivian squirrel monkey). The record is from RNAcentral. Lineage: Eukaryota; Metazoa; Chordata; Mammalia; Primates; Cebidae.
GUGCUUGCUUUGGCAGCACAUAUACUAAAAUUGGAACGAUACAGAGAAGAUUAGCAUGGCCCCUGCACAAGGAUGACACACAAAUUCGUGAAACUUUCCAUUAAAAA